This is a non-coding RNA of Danio rerio (zebrafish), 857 nucleotides long. Lineage: Eukaryota; Metazoa; Chordata; Actinopteri; Cypriniformes; Danionidae. The record is from Ensembl.
UUGAGUCAAUGAAACAGUUCACCCAAAUCCACUCUUUGGAUCUGUCCUAUGAUGAAGACAAUAAUUGCAGAUCCAUUUAUGUGACUUUUGAGCAUUCAGGACGGGAACAGGAACCUCAUCCUGUGCUCCCCACAUACCACUAUAUUGAGCGGAAGACACUACUUGUGAGCAAUCUGCACCCAAUGGUCACCGAACAACAGCUUAUUGAAAAGUUUGGUCCAUUGGGGUCCAUCUCGACUGUGCAAGUGUGCAGAAACAACAUCGUCUCUCCUGUGUAUGCCUUUGUGACUUUCCAUCAUCGACUCGAUGCAGUGCGAGCACAAAAAGCUCUGAACUUCACUCAUUUACUGAAUAAACCUCUGAUCAUCAUGUGGGGCCCAGACAAGACAACUGAGGUCCUCUCAGAUUAUGACAGCAGCUCUCAAAGACAAACAGAGGAGAGAGAGGCAGCUGGAGAAACAGAGGAGAAAAAGACCAGUGGAGAAACAGAGGAGAGAGAGGCAGCUGGAGAAACAGAGGAGAAAAAGACCAGUGGAGAAACAGAGAGAGAAGCAGCUGGAGAAACAGAGGAGAGAGCGAACAGCGAGUCUUCAUGGAGAAGAAGGAUCUCCAACAAUGUGAAAAGUGCUGUGAAAGCCACGGUAAGCAGUCCAGCAACCUGGGUCGGAGUCGGCAUAGGUGUCUGUGCUGCUUAUGCCUACUUCAGGAGCAGGAGCUAGUGUGGACUCAUUCUAAAAGACGAGAAGGCCUGCCUCACAAUCUCCACUCAUCAUCCCCAGAGUGACCAAUCACUGCUCCAGAAAGAACUUGAUUUCCCCAGCAGGCCAAACACUUGCAAUAAAUGUGAAUUGAAUAAA